This 513-nucleotide ribosomal RNA is filed under the name uncultured bacterium. RNAcentral describes it as "partial 16S ribosomal RNA". It matches the Rfam family "Bacterial small subunit ribosomal RNA", at positions 28 to 507 of the family's 1533-position model. The record is from RNAcentral.
GACGAACGCUGGCGGCGUGCUUAACACAUGCAAGUCGAACGAGAGCGUAGAGAAAGCUUGCUUUUUCUACAAUCUAGUGGCAAACGGGUGAGUAACGCGUAAACAACCUGCCCUACGGAUGGGGACAACAGCUGGAAACGGCUGCUAAUACCGAAUACGUUCCGAAAGUCGCAUGACUAUCGGAAGGAAGGAUGGCCUCUAUUUAUAAGCUAUCGCCGGAGGAGGGGUUUGCGUCUGAUUAGCUAGUUGGAGGGGUAACGGCCCACCAAGGCGACGAUCAGUAGCCGGUCUGAGAGGAUGAACGGCCACAUUGGAACUGAGACACGGUCCAGACUCCUACGGGAGGCAGCAGUGGGGAAUCUUCCGCAAUGGGCGAAAGCCUGACGGAGCAACGCCGCGUGAGUGAAGACGGCCUUCGGGUUGUAAAGCUCUGUUAUACGGGACGAAUAAUCUUGUGGUUAAUACCCAUGAGAAGUGACGGUACCGUAAGAGAAAGCCACGGCUAACUACGUG